AAAAUGAUCAGGACUGCAAUGAGAGAACUGCGAAAGAAAAAGCGAGAGGCUAGGCUGGGAUGCACACAGGAGGAAAUGGACCAGAGAGAGAAGGAGCGAGAUCAGCGUCUGCAGGAGCUCAGGCAUCAGCGG
Cyprinus carpio (common carp) is the source of this 132-nucleotide long non-coding RNA. RefSeq lists it as uncharacterized. The transcript has 3 exons. Lineage: Eukaryota; Metazoa; Chordata; Actinopteri; Cypriniformes; Cyprinidae. The record is from RefSeq and is a predicted model, not a curated record.